CUGCUGCCUUCCGUAGGAGUCUGGUCCGUGUCUCAGUACCAGUGUGGGGGGCCUUCCUCUCAGAACCCCUACGCAUCGUCGGCACGGUGGGCCGUUACCCCGCCGUCUACCUAAUGCGACGCAUGUCCAUCCUAUGCCGGGUCGCCUCCUUUGACCACCUGGAGAUGUCUCCAAAUGGUGUUAUGCGGUAUUAGACGGAAUUUCUUCCGCUUAUCCCCCUGCCAUAGGGCAGGUUCCAUGCGUGUUACUCACCCGUGCCG
This 260-nucleotide ribosomal RNA is filed under the name uncultured bacterium. RNAcentral describes it as "partial 16S ribosomal RNA". The record is from RNAcentral.